This 2542-nucleotide long non-coding RNA is filed under the name Phocoena sinus (vaquita). RNAcentral's name for it is "lncRNA (ENSPSNG00000000843.1)". The record is from RNAcentral. Lineage: Eukaryota; Metazoa; Chordata; Mammalia; Artiodactyla; Phocoenidae.
GGAGCUGUGGUGUGGAAACCAGGAGCUCAGUACUUCUGAAGGGGUGAGGGGAGGGUCUUAUGCUGGUCAAGAGUCACCUCCAAGUUCUCCCCUGAGCUAGCAGCCUUGGUUUUUAGGGCCUAUUGAAAUUUUCCUGGGCACCUCCAUCUUUCCUACAAACAGUUUUUCAAACUAAGAGAACCCUUUACUGGUGGGAGGAGGGAGAGGGAUAGAAGGGAGGAAUUCUGUACUUUUCUUGCACUGUUCAAGAGGCCUUGAUAUCACCCCUGCCACAGGGAACUCGGGUGUGGCAGAAUUGGGAUUAGACAUGGGAGGCUGGGCUGUCUUUUCUCUGAUGGCAGAGUUAGGACCUGACCUAGCACAAGGAGCCAGCUGUGCGGAGGUGUCCUCUGACCUCUGCUCCGAGUAGCUGCCGCAGCCCUGCAUGGGUGGGAUGUGGGGCUGGGCCCGUCAGGAUCUAGUGCAGAAAAGGGAAGUGGGUGCUGACUGCAUUCUUAGAGGCGAUCCUUCAAGGAAGACAUUGAAUAUCAAUGAUAAAUUAUUAAGUCAGGUAAAUAUGCCUGACCUUUUCACAAUUGAAAAAAAAAUUUCUUCCUCUGUCAAAUGCCAGAUUUUUAGUGGAAAUGCUAAUGGCAUUGGGAAAGGUUAGCGCUUGUUUCAGUUUCAGAGAAACAGUGCUUUUUAAUGAUUGCCAUACCUGGCAAGGCCACCAUGUCCCUGCUUCCCAAGCAGGCAGCGAGGGCAAACCGGGCCUGAUUCUGGCUGCAUGCAGAGCCAGAGCUGGCCCCAACUCAGCUGUCAUCCCUUCCUAAUUCCAGUUGCAGGGUGCCUACCCUGCACCUGGGGCCAUUCACAGGAACAGAUUAUAGAGGAGGCUGAUAGAAGCGUUCAAAAUGGAUGGCCGAACCACUUUCAGAGACUGUAGCUGGAGCUGGGGGAGAGGAGGUGGUGAAAUCACAGGUUUGACCUGUCCUGACCUCAGAUCUAUCUCCCUCCUGGGAAUGGUAUGGAGUGGAAAGAAUGUCGAGCCACUCACCAAGAAACCUGGGUCACAGCCUGGGUUCUGCCCUCAACCAGCUCUUAACAAACCUCUUCACCAGCCCCUCCCCUUCAAGAUAGACCUAGUAUUUCCCAUCCAACUCGAUUCACAGGCUUUUGUGAGGUGAUAAGUAUGGAAGCAUUUUCUAGUUUAUGAAACACUAUCAAUGUCAGGGAUUAUUGACUAUGAAACACUAUCAAUGUCAGGGUGGAGUGUACCUUGCCAGGCUAUUCGGACUUGAUGCUGAUGGUCAGUUAUGAUUGGUCUGGGACAUCUCUCCACUGUUUAGUAAGAGUGAUGAUUGACAGCACUUUCAGUCCUGCUUGUGGGCCCAGCAUCUUUCUAAAAACACUUUGCAGUGAUUCUCACUUUGUCCUCACAGUGAUCUCACAGUUAGCCUCCAUUUUACAGAGAAGAAAACCGAGGCUCAGAGAGGUUAAAUAAGUCGCUGGGUGACCUUGUAAGUCAAGCCCAUCUGGUUCUAAAGUCCAUGAUGUCAGCUGCUGUGUUGCCUUAGUGACCCGGCUACUUUGGCUGGCUGCCAGCUUAUCAACAGUUUGCAGCCAUCCAGACAACUGCUUUCCUACCUCCCCUGCAGUUGGGGUGCCCCACUGAGCACCAGGUUCUCUUUGGAGUCAGUCUGUGCCUUUUCACCCCAAGGAGGGCCCUGUGCAUCACAUUUGCUUGUGGCGUUCCGAAGCACAUGCAGUGUCUCUGUGACCUUUCAUUCUCAUUGGGAUUUAUCUUGCCAUUUGAAGAUCAUUAUUUUGGUGAGGCUAUUCCAGAAAAAGUGGCCCAACCCUCACAGGGAACAUAGUUCCCUCAGGGUCCAAUAUCUUCUGAUCUUUUUUUUAAAAGAUGUUUUAAAAUAGUUGUGCUAUCAUUUGUUAUCAGAAAAUGCUUGCUGUAACAAGCACUUAUCUGCUGGAGUGAAUGCUCUACUGAUCAAGUUAAACAGAUAAGAUCCCCACCCUUGUAGAAACUACAAUUUAAUACACUCUAAGGCUUGACAAAUGACUAGUAUUUAUUUUCCAACUCCUUUAUCUCUGUAAAAUGAUAUGCCGAAUUACUAUAAGCUAAUUGGUGUAGAAAGAGCUCUUCCCUUAACUUAUGUAAACAGUCUGGCUUUUGAAAACAGCUGUGGUUCAGCAAGUUCAACACACUUUGCCUUCCCCAAGACUGCAGAAAAACCCCUCUGCCUGCCCUGGUCAUCACUGUGUAUUCAGCUCUGGGCACACUUUCUUUUACUUGUUUUUAAUUUUUUUUUUUCAUUUUUGGAAAAAAUUAAUACACAUACAUGGUAAGACGUCCAAACAAUGCAAAAAGAGAAUACAAUGAAAAGUAAGCUUCCCAAUGGAGGUCAGCCUUCAGUUCCACAUCCCCCUCUUCAGAAUUAAUCACUGUUUCUAUAUCUUAUGUAUCCUUCCUGAGCAAUUCUAUGCAUUUACAAGUUUUUAAAUAUGUAUAUUUAUAUAUCUAUUUUUAAUACAAAUGGUAGCAUUC